This 305-nucleotide ribosomal RNA is filed under the name uncultured bacterium. Its description in RNAcentral is "bacterial SSU rRNA". It matches the Rfam family "Bacterial small subunit ribosomal RNA", at positions 334 to 656 of the family's 1533-position model. The record is from RNAcentral.
UUGGCCUACGGGGGGCAGCAGUGGGGAAUAUUGCACAAUGGGGGAAACCCUGAUGCAGCGACGCCGCGUGAGUGAGGAAGGAUUUCGGUAUGUAAAGCUCUUUCAGCAGGGGAGAAAAUGACGGUACCUGACUAAGAAGCCCCGGCUAACUACGUGCCAGCAGCCGCGGUAAUACGUAGGGGGCAAGCGUUAUCCGGAUUUACUGGGUGUAAAGGGAGCGUAGACGGCUAAUCAAGUCAGAAGUGAAAACCCAGGGCUCAACCUUGGGAGUGCUUUUGAAACUGAGUAGCUAGAGUGAAGGAGAG